UCCCGGUUGGCCCGGGCAGUUUCGCCUGAUAUAUACAACAGACGACAAGGGUUUCGCUCGUUGAUGGACUUAACCAAACAUCUCACGACACGAGCUGAGGACGGCCAUGCAACACCUGUCACUAGGUUCCCGAAGGCACAGCACCAUUUCUGGCGCCUUCCUAGGAUGUCAAGCCUUGGUAAGGUUCUUCGCGUAGCUUCGAAUUAAACCACAUGCUCCACCGCUUGUGCGGGUCCCCGUCAAUUCCUUUGAGUUUUAAUCUUGCGAUCGUACUCCCCAGGCGGGAUGCUUAACGCGUUAGCUUCUCAGCACAAAGGGUCGAUACUUCAUACUAAUAGCAUCCAUCGUUUACGGCGUGGACUAC
This 364-nucleotide unclassified non-coding RNA is filed under the name uncultured bacterium. RNAcentral describes it as "contains 16S-23S intergenic spacer region". The record is from RNAcentral.